CCUACGGGAGGCAGCAGUGGGGAAUAUUGGGCAAUGGGCGCCACCAUGACCCAGCAACGCCGCGUGAAGGAUGAAGGCCUUCGGGUUGUAAACUUCUUUUCUCAGGGAAGCAGACAGUGACGGUACCUCCGGAAUAAGCCUCGGCUAACUACGUGCCAGCAGCCGCGUUAAUACGUAGGUGGCAAGCAGUAUCCGGAUUUACUGGGUGUAAGGGGUGUGUAGGGGGGAAGGCAAGUUAGCCGUGAAACCCCGGGGCGCAACCUGUGCACUGCAGUUGAAACUGUAGUUCUUGAGUACUGGAGAGGCAGACGGAAUGCCUAGUGUAGCGGUGAAAUGCGUAGAUAUUAGGAGGAACACCAGUGGCGAAGGC
Molecule: ribosomal RNA, 370 nt
Filed under: uncultured bacterium
Lineage: Bacteria
Description: partial 16S ribosomal RNA
Rfam family: Bacterial small subunit ribosomal RNA
Source: RNAcentral